UCUGAGAGGAGAAUCCCCCACACUGGUACUGAGACACGGACCAGAUCUCCUACGGGAGGCAGCAGUAAGGAAUAUUGGUCAAUGGAGGGAACUCUGAACCAGCCAUGCCGCGUGCAGGAUGACUGCCCUAUGGGUUGUAAACUGCUUUUGCCCAGGAAUAACCCUAUCUACGAGUAGAUAGCUGAAGGUACUGGGAGAAUAAGGAUCGGCUAACUCCGUGCCAGCUGCCGCGGUAAUACGGAGGAUCCGAGCGUUAUCCGGAUUUAUUGGG
RNAcentral lists this ribosomal RNA (271 nucleotides) under uncultured Sphingobacterium sp. Its description in RNAcentral is "partial 16S ribosomal RNA". It matches the Rfam family "Bacterial small subunit ribosomal RNA", at positions 291 to 558 of the family's 1533-position model. The record is from RNAcentral. Lineage: Bacteria; Pseudomonadati; Bacteroidota; Sphingobacteriia; Sphingobacteriales; Sphingobacteriaceae.